This 253-nucleotide ribosomal RNA is filed under the name uncultured bacterium. RNAcentral describes it as "partial 16S ribosomal RNA". It matches the Rfam family "Bacterial small subunit ribosomal RNA", at positions 524 to 776 of the family's 1533-position model. The record is from RNAcentral.
UACGAAGGGGGCUAGCGUUGCUCGGAAUCACUGGGCGUAAAGCGCACGUAGGCGGCUUUCUAAGUCAGGGGUGAAAUCCUGGAGCUCAACUCCAGAACUGCCUUUGAUACUGGAGAGCUAGAGUCCGGAAGAGGUGAGUGGAACUGCGAGUGUAGAGCUGAAAUUCGUAGAUAUUCGCAAGAACACCAGUGGCGAAGGCGGCUCACUGGUCCGGUACUGACGCUGAGGUGCGAAAGCGUGGGGAGCAAACAGG